Molecule: ribosomal RNA, 494 nt
Filed under: uncultured bacterium
Lineage: Bacteria
Description: partial 16S ribosomal RNA
Rfam family: Bacterial small subunit ribosomal RNA
Source: RNAcentral
GACGAACGCUGGCGGCGUGCUUAACACAUGCAAGUCGAACGGUGAAGCGCCUUCCUUUUUGGUGGGUGUGGAUGAGUGGCGAACGGGUGAGUAACACGUGAGUAACCUGCCCCCUUCUUCUGGAUAACCGCAUGAAAGUGUGGCUAAUACGGGAUAUUCUGGGUCUGCCGCAUGAUGGGUCUGGGAAAGAUAUUGUUUCGGUGGGGGAUGGGCUCGCGGCCUAUCAGCUUGUUGGUGGGGUGAUGGCCUACCAAGGCGGUGACGGGUAGCCGGCCUGAGAGGGUGGACGGCCACACUGGGACGGAGACACGGCCCAGACUCCUACGGGAGGCAGCAGUGGGGAAUAUUGCACAGUGGGCGCAAGCCUGAUGCAGCGACGCCGCGUGAGGGAUGGAGGCCUUCGGGUUGUGAACCUCUUUCGCCAGUGAAGCAGGCCUGCCUCGUUUGUGGGUGGGUUGACGGUAGCUGGAGAAGAAGCGCCGGCUAACUACGUG